CCGCCCUUCAGUGCUGCAGCUAACGCAUUAAGCACUCCGCCUGGGGAGUACGACCGCAAGGUUGAAACUCAAAGGAAUUGACGGGGGCCCGCACAAGCGGUGGAGCAUGUGGUUUAAUUCGAAGCAACGCGAAGAACCUUACCAGGUCUUGACAUCCUUUGACCACUCUAGAGAUAGAGCUUCCCCUUCGGGGGCAAAGUGACAGGUGGUGCAUGGUUGUCGUCAGCUCGUGUCGUGAGAUGUUGGGUUAAGUCCCGCAACGAGCGCAACCCUUAUUGUUAGUUGCCAUCAUUCAGUUGGGCACUCUAGCAAGACUGCCGGUGACAAACCGGAGGAAGGUGGGGAUGACGUCAAAUCAUCAUGCCCCUUAUGACCUGGGCUACACACGUGCUACAAUGGGAAGUACAACGAGUNGCGAAGUCGCGAGGCUAAGCUAAUCUCUUAAAGCUUCUCUCAGUUCGGAUUGCAGGCUGCAACUCGCCUGCAUGAAGCC
This 493-nucleotide ribosomal RNA is filed under the name Enterococcus faecium. Its description in RNAcentral is "bacterial SSU rRNA". It matches the Rfam family "Bacterial small subunit ribosomal RNA", at positions 833 to 1327 of the family's 1533-position model. The record is from RNAcentral. Lineage: Bacteria; Bacillati; Bacillota; Bacilli; Lactobacillales; Enterococcaceae.